AGCGAACGCUGGCGGCAUGCCUAACACAUGCAAGUCGAACGAGACCUUCGGGUCUAGUGGCGCACGGGUGCGUAACGCGUGGGAAUCUGCCCUUGGGUUCGGAAUAACAGCGAGAAAUUGCUGCUAAUACCGGAUGAUGACGUAAGUCCAAAGAUUUAUCGCCCAAGGAUGAGCCCGCGUAGGAUUAGCUAGUUGGUGAGGUAAAGGCUCACCAAGGCGACGAUCCUUAGCUGGUCUGAGAGGAUGAUCAGCCACACUGGGACUGAGACACGGCCCCAGACUCCUACGGGAGGCAGCAGUGGGGAAUAUUGGACAAUGGGCGAAAGCCUGAUCCAGCAAUGCCGCGUGAGUGAUGAAGGCCUUAGGGUUGUAAAGCUCUUUUACCCGGGAUGA
RNAcentral lists this ribosomal RNA (393 nucleotides) under uncultured bacterium. RNAcentral's name for it is "bacterial SSU rRNA". It matches the Rfam family "Bacterial small subunit ribosomal RNA", at positions 29 to 448 of the family's 1533-position model. The record is from RNAcentral.